Molecule: ribosomal RNA, 433 nt
Filed under: uncultured bacterium
Lineage: Bacteria
Description: partial 16S ribosomal RNA
Rfam family: Bacterial small subunit ribosomal RNA
Source: RNAcentral
AACGAACGCUGGCGGCAUGCCUAACACAUGCAAGUCGAACGAGAUCUUCGGAUCUAGUGGCGCACGGGUGCGUAACGCGUGGGAAUCUGCCCCUUGCUUCGGAAUAACAGUGAGAAAUUACUGCUAAUACCGGAUGAUGUCUUCGGACCAAAGAUUUAUCGGCAAGGGAUGAGCCCGCGUAGGAUUAGGUAGUUGGUGGGGUAAUGGCCUACCAAGCCGACGUUCCUUAGCUGGUCUGAGAGGAUGAUCAGCCACACUGGGACUGAGACACGGCCCAGACUCCUACGGGAGGCAGCAGUGGGGAAUAUUGGACAAUGGGCGAAAGCCUGAUCCAUCAAUGCCGCGUGAGUGAUGAAGGCCUUAGGGUUGUAAAGCUCUUUUACCAGGGAUGAUAAUGACAGUACCUGGAGAAUAAGCUCCGGCUAACUCCGUG